This 527-nucleotide ribosomal RNA is filed under the name uncultured bacterium. RNAcentral describes it as "bacterial SSU rRNA". It matches the Rfam family "Bacterial small subunit ribosomal RNA", at positions 980 to 1509 of the family's 1533-position model. The record is from RNAcentral.
CUUGACAUACCGAUGACAGGUCUAGAGAUAGAUUUUCCCUUUAGGCAUCGGAUACAGGUGGUGCAUGGUUGUCGUCAGCUCGUGUCGUGAGAUGUUGGGUUAAGUCCCGCAACGAGCGCAACCCCUAUUGUUAGUUGCCAUCAUUAAGUUGGGCACUCUAGCGAGACUGCCAGUAAUAAACUGGAGGAAGGUGGGGAUGACGUCAAAUCAUCAUGCCCCUUAUGACCUGGGCUACACACGUGCUACAAUGGGAAGUACAACGAGUUGCGAGGCGGUGACGCCAAGCUAAUCUCUUAAAGCUUCUCUCAGUUCGGAUUGUAGGCUGCAACUCGCCUACAUGAAGUCGGAAUCGCUAGUAAUCGCGGAUCAGCACGCCGCGGUGAAUACGUUCCCGGGCCUUGUACACACCGCCCGUCACACCACGAGAGUUUGUAACACCCGAAGUCGGUGAGGUAACCGUAAGGAGCCAACCGCCUAAGGUGGGAUAGAUGAUUGGGGUGAAGUCGUAACAAGGUAAGCGUAGAUGA